UUAAAACCUAUUAAAGAAGGGUGGCUAUAAGGAGGUUUGGGUUCUACUUAGAGGGUGGUGUAUAAUGUGGAGGAUAUUAGGAGAGAUAUUGCCGAAUUUGUAAUAAUUGAUGAGCAACCGUUUAGAGUUGUUGAGGCAGAAGGAUUCAAGAAAUUAAUGGCAAAAGCCUUACCUAAUUUGGAAUUACCUUCUCGUGUAACUAUUGCUAGACAUUGUCUAAAGAUUUAUCAGGAAGAAAAAGAAAAACUCAAAAAACUUAUCAAGAACCAGCGUAUAUGUAUUACUAGUGAUACAUGGACAUCAUUACAAAAUUUAACUUACAUGGUUGUCAUUGCACAAUGGAUUGAUGAACAAUGGAAUUUACAAAAGAAAAUUUUAAACUUUUUCCAAACACCGGAUCACAAAGGUGAAACUAUUGCUAAGGGAAUUGAAGAAUGCUUAUUAGGUUGGGGUAUUGAGAACUUAUUUACAGUGACCCUCGACGUGUAAGGAAUGCGGUUAAGUAUGUUAGGUCGUCCCCUUCAAGAUUUGAUUCUUUCAAGUUAUUUGUUGAGAAAUCUAAGAUAGACAGUCAUGGUCUAGUGAGCCUUGAUGUUGAAACUAGAUGAAACUCGACAUAUACCAUGUUAGAUACGGCUUAGAAAUUUGAAAAAGUCUUUACAAGAAUGCAUGUUGAUGACCAUAUGUACCAAAAGUAUUGUCGAGAAAUAAAUGCAAUAAAAGGAAGUCCAUCUGUAAGUGAUUGGAAAAAUGUGAAAGCUUUUGUCAAGUUUCUUAAAAGUUUCUACCAGACGACUUUGAAAUUUUCAGGUAGUUUGCAUGCUACGUCCAACUCUUUCUUCCAUGAAUUUUUUACUCUUCGAAAUGCUAUUAUCAAGUAUACUAAAAGUGAUGAUCUUAUUUUGGUUGAUAUGGCAACAAAGAUGAAAAGUAAGCUUGAGAAAUAUUGGGGUAAAUUUGAGAGCAUGAAUAGUAUACUAAAAGUGAUGAUCUUAUUUUGGUUGAUAUGGCAACAAAGAUGAAAGGUAAGCUUGAGAAAUAGUAGGGUAAAUUUGAGAGCAUGAAUAUGUUGUUGUUUGUGGUUGUUGUGUUGGAUCCCAGAUUCAAGAUGAAGUAUGUGAACUUCAUUCUUACUUAUGCAUAUGGUUCGUUGUUGGGAAGACUAAAGUCUGAAGAUGUGGCAGGUUCUUUGAAUCGCUUAUUUAAUCAUUAUAAUGGUUCUUUGUUUGAAGAUUCUAAUGAUAAUAUUAGAGGUGAUACUAGUAUGAUGAGUGAAAAUGGUGACAUGUUGCUAUCUAGGUGGGAAAAACACUUGGCAGAUGAGGGAAAUAUUGAAAAAAAGUCUGAUCUUGAGAUGUACUUGAUGGAUGAUGUGGUGCAGACAAAGAAUUUUAAUAUUUUUAGUUGGUGGAUGAGAUGUACUUGAUGGAUGAUGUGGUGCAGACAAAGGAUUUUAAUAUUUUGAGUUGGUGGAAAGCUUCAUCUAUUAAAUAUCCAGUUGUUUCAAAAAUUGCAAGGGAUGUUCUUUCUAUUCCUAUUUCUACUGUUGCGUCUGAGUCGGAUUUUAGUACAGGUGGUCGAAUUCUUGAUUCAUAUCGGAGUUCUUUAUAGCCAAAAAUAGUAGAAGCCCUAAUUUGCACUCAACAAUGGACACGAUCACCUACCAAAGAAUACAA
This 1676-nucleotide long non-coding RNA is filed under the name Nicotiana benthamiana. RNAcentral's name for it is "long non-coding RNA (NBEN_LNC007340)". Lineage: Eukaryota; Viridiplantae; Streptophyta; Magnoliopsida; Solanales; Solanaceae. The record is from RNAcentral.